RNAcentral lists this ribosomal RNA (382 nucleotides) under Achaeta cf. bohemica PDW-2010. Its description in RNAcentral is "partial 12S ribosomal RNA". Lineage: Eukaryota; Metazoa; Annelida; Clitellata; Enchytraeida; Enchytraeidae. The record is from RNAcentral.
UUACAGUAUAAUAAAUUAAUCGAAUAAUAAAAACAACUGUUUAAAAUUCAAGAAUUUUGGCGGUAUCUUAUAAAAUUAGGGGAACAUGUUACUUAAUACGAUAAUCCACGACCAAUCAACCAUCUUUAGUAUAUCAGUCUGUGUACUGCUGUCAUAAAUAAACCUAUAAAAGAAAGUAUAUAAUAAUAUUUAUUAUUAUUUAUGUCAAGUCAAAGUGCAGCCAAUAAGAUGGUGUAAAUGUGUUACAAUCCUUACUUAAAGAAUUAUUAAUAAAAAUAUAUUUAUUAGCAAAACGGACUUAACAGUAAUAUAAUGAAAAAUCAUAUAUAAACAUUUAUCUAAGAUAUGCACACAUCGCCCGUCACUCUUGUCAACCAAGACU